This 596-nucleotide ribosomal RNA is filed under the name uncultured Klebsiella sp. Its description in RNAcentral is "bacterial SSU rRNA". It matches the Rfam family "Bacterial small subunit ribosomal RNA", at positions 292 to 880 of the family's 1533-position model. The record is from RNAcentral. Lineage: Bacteria; Pseudomonadati; Pseudomonadota; Gammaproteobacteria; Enterobacterales; Enterobacteriaceae.
CUGAGAGGAUGACCAGCCACACUGGAACUGAGACACGGUCCAGACUCCUACGGGAGGCAGCAGUGGGGAAUAUUGCACAAUGGGCGCAAGCCUGAUGCAGCCAUGCCGCGUGUAUGAAGAAGGCCUUCGGGUUGUAAAGUACUUUCAGCGGGGAGGAAGGCGAUAAGGUUAAUAACCUUGUCGAUUGACGUUACCCGCAGAAGAAGCACCGGCUAACUCCGUGCCAGCAGCCGCGGUAAUACGGGGGGUGCAAGCGUUAAUCGGAAUUACUGGGCGUAAAGCGCACGCAGGCGGUCUGUCAAGUCGGAUGUGAAAUCCCCGGGCUCAACCUGGGAACUGCAUUCGAAACUGGCAGGCUGGAGUCUUGUAGAGGGGGGUAGAAUUCCAGGUGUAGCGGUGAAAUGCGUAGAGAUCUGGAGGAAUACCGGUGGCGAAGGCGGCCCCCUGGACAAAGACUGACGCUCAGGUGCGAAAGCGUGGGGAGCAAACAGGAUUAGAUACCCUGGUAGUCCACGCUGUAAACGAUGUCGACUUGGAGGUUGUUCCCUUGAGGAGUGGCUUCCGGAGCUAACGCGUUAAGUCGACCGCCUGGGGAG